AUUGAAAAGAAACUCUCAGCUGGCUGGAUAUAGUAUGUACCUGUUGUAAAGGAAGAUAACUUUGUUUCAAAUAUGCCAUUGAACUUUGCUCUAGGAUAUUUUUGCAUGAAUUUGAGUCAAUAUCCUUGACCAGGUCAGCGAUGAAAUUUGGAGUUGCAGUUUUCUCUGUCGUAAUGCAACCAAUGCAAGAUGGAUCCCCGGAAAUCAGAAUCUGUCAAACAUGUGACAACUUAUCACUAACCGAACGAUAUGAUGAAGCCAUCUGAACUAUUCAAGAAGAUGCCAUUUUAAGCCAGAUAGAUUUGUUAAUUGCCCUUGGGAAAGUGGUGAAGAGUUGGCAUCUUAACAUACAGCAGGCCUUCUGUAGAAGGUAUUCCCCACUGGCCCAGUUUGGAGGUUGCUACUGGAGUGGAUGCUAGAAAAUGUUGUGUGGGUUGGCAGCAGUUCCUAAUCCUAUCUGGAAGAGCUUUAGCUGGCACAGAGUUCCACAUUGCUUUGCCCCGGUGUCACUGCCUGGCAAAUUGAAUUAAAGAUGCUCCAAUCUUUGAAGCAGUUUAUCAUAAUACAAGCACUUUGUUCAAUCUCUGCAGGAGAAUUUUAUGGCUUUUCUUGUGGAAGUCUAAUUGGAGAAAUAAAGCAGCGUCUUGACAAAGUGCAGAGCAUUUCUUGGCGAAUGCUCUGAAGAUUUCAGAAAUAUUGCAAAUGCCAUAUAUUUAGAACAAUUUCUCACACUAUGUGGUAUUAUGAAAAAAAAAUUAAAUCUCACAUGCCAUAAAUGAAAAUCUUUCAAAGAAAUUGAAGAUUUUAAUUAAUUUUCUGCGAUGAUGUGUAUGGAAUGGUUAUUAGGAUACACAAACGCCUUAAAAUAAUACAAAUCUUUCUUUGUCAAAAUUAAAUGUUGAACAGAAUUAAGCUGCUAAAUGAUAAUGUGGCAAGGAGUCCAAAUCCCCCUGCACUGCAGAUGAACGGUUUGUGCAGUUAAGGAGGCCUGAAAAAUUACUCCUUCCAAAAUAGAGAAGGGAAUUUGUUCUUGUAGAAACAUUGUUUCAACUCAACAUCCCAUGCACCAUCAAUCUUCAGUCCAUACCAUUCAGCGACUUGUGCUAAUACUAUUUUGUGACUCCAUGUGCUGGAUCGUAACUAUAUGUGCUUUGUGAGACUGUAUAUACUGUGUUUUGCACUUUGG
Mobula hypostoma (lesser devil ray) is the source of this 1186-nucleotide long non-coding RNA. RefSeq lists it as uncharacterized. Lineage: Eukaryota; Metazoa; Chordata; Chondrichthyes; Myliobatiformes; Myliobatidae. The transcript is spliced from 5 exons. The record is from RefSeq and is a predicted model, not a curated record.